This 482-nucleotide ribosomal RNA is filed under the name uncultured bacterium. RNAcentral's name for it is "partial 16S ribosomal RNA". It matches the Rfam family "Bacterial small subunit ribosomal RNA", at positions 28 to 523 of the family's 1533-position model. The record is from RNAcentral.
GACGAACGCUGGAGGCGUGCUUAACACAUGCAAGUCGAACGAUGAAAUGGAGCUUGCUCCAUGGAUUAGUGGCGAACGGGUGAGUAACACGUGAAUAACCUGCCCUUAAUUUUGGAAUAACCCAGGGAAACCUGGGCUAAUACCGGAUAAGUAAACCUGUGGCAUCACAUGGUUUUGGAAAGUUUUUCGAUUAAGGAUGGAUUCGCGGCCUAUCAGCUUGUUGGUGAGGUAAUGGCUCACCAAGGCGACGACGGGUAGCCGGCCUGAGAGGGUAAACGGCCACACUGGGACUGAGACACGGCCCAGACUCCUACGGGAGGCAGCAGGGGGGAAUAUUGCGCAAUGGACGAAAGUCUGACGCAGCGACGCCUCGUGAGGGACGAAGGUCUUCGGAUUGUAAACCUCUUUCAGCAGGGACGAAGCGAAAGUGACGGUACCUGCAGAAGAAGCACCGGUUAACUAUGUGCCAGCCGCCGCCGUAA